CCACAAGUUAUGUGGAAGUUCUCAUACCGAAGAGUGUCAGUGUGGAUGAAUCCGCAUGUAUCAUUUCUGCAAAUCAUUGCCACAGUCAUCCUCCAUCGAUAGAUAGUUUCAUCAUCUAUAUCCUUUUCUUCAUUCUCUUUUCAAAGGAAUCGAGUUGAUAUUUAAGACCUAAGACUCAGAAGGGCCAGCUAGUCACAAAUAAUGCACCAAAUCAGACAGCAAUACGAAUCCUAGCAAAGGAAUUUAAAUGAACCAGCCAAGUAGGUUAAAGCUCAAAAACCCUAAGGGAACCUUAAAACUCAGUGCCAAACUCUCGGCGGCGCAAUAAGCUGCUUGCUCGACAGAUUCUGAACCAAGCGAAGAGCCCACCACAUGAUAACGACAACAAAAGCGAAGAUUGAGGAAAGGAGAACAAGGGAGAAAGGAUACGGUGUCCGGGAAUGGCGAUCUCGAGUAUUGACGGCGAGGGGAUUAGCGUUGCAGAUGGACUCGACCGUGGUGAGGUCCCCGUUCCUCGCGGCGGCGUGGAGAUCGGAAGAUUCGCUGCCCCCCUUCGGUAAUCGGUUCUUCCUCCUCGA
This 578-nucleotide long non-coding RNA is filed under the name Musa acuminata (dwarf banana). Its description in RNAcentral is "long non-coding RNA (MACU_LNC004654)". The record is from RNAcentral. Lineage: Eukaryota; Viridiplantae; Streptophyta; Magnoliopsida; Zingiberales; Musaceae.